This 460-nucleotide ribosomal RNA is filed under the name uncultured bacterium. Its description in RNAcentral is "partial 16S ribosomal RNA". It matches the Rfam family "Bacterial small subunit ribosomal RNA", at positions 338 to 795 of the family's 1533-position model. The record is from RNAcentral.
CCUACGGGUGGCAGCAGUGAGGAAUAUUGGUCAAUGGACGAGAGUCUGAACCAGCCAAGUAGCGUGAAGGAUGACUGCCCUAUGGGUUGUAAACCUCUUUUAUAUGGGAAUAAAAUGUUCCACGUGUGGGAGUUUGUAUGUACCAUAUGAAUAAGCAUCGGCUAACUCCGUGCCAGCAGCCGCGGUAAUACGGAGGAUCCGAGCGUUAUCCGGGUUUAUUGGGUUUAAAGGGAGCGUAGGUGGAUUGUUAAGUCAGUUGUGAAAGUUUGGGGCUCAACCGGAAAAUUGCAGUUGAAACUGGCAGUCUUGAGUGCAGUAGAGGUGGGCGGAAGGCGUGGUGUAGCGGUGAAAUGCUUAGAUAUCACGAAGAACUCCGAUUGCGAAGGCAGCUCACUGGAGUGCAACUGACACUGAGGCUCGAAAGUGUGGGUAUCAAACAGGAUUAGAUACCCUAGUAGUC